Non-coding RNA from Chlorocebus sabaeus (green monkey), 3614 nucleotides. NCBI's taxonomy places the organism in Eukaryota, Metazoa, Chordata, Mammalia, Primates, Cercopithecidae. The record is from RefSeq and is a predicted model, not a curated record.
GAUGCGCGCUUCCGCGCGUUUCCGCUUCCGCCACGGCAGACGGCACCUCGUGCCGGCAGUCGCCGCGUCCUCGUCCGCUUCUCUGCGCUAUGUCGGGUGGCCUCCUGAAGGCGCUGCGCAGCGACUCCUACGUGGAGCUGAGCCAGUACCGGGACCAGCACUUCCGGGGUGACAAUGAAGAACAAGAAAAAUUACUGAAGAAAAGCUGUACGUUAUAUGUUGGAAAUCUUUCUUUUUACACAACUGAAGAACAAAUCUACGAACUCUUCAGCAAAAGUGGUGACAUAAAGAAAAUCAUUAUGGGUCUGGAUAAAAUGAAGAAAACAGCGUGUGGAUUCUGUUUCGUGGAAUAUUACUCACGUGCAGAUGCCGAAAAUGCCAUGCGGUACAUAAAUGGAACACGUCUGGAUGACCGAAUCAUUCGCACAGACUGGGACGCAGGCUUUAAGGAGGGCAGGCAGUACGGCCGUGGGCGAUCUGGGGGCCAGGUUCGGGAUGAGUAUCGGCAGGACUAUGACGCUGGAAGAGGAGGCUAUGGAAAACUGGCCCAGAACCAGUCUCAAUAAAGCUGGAUGAACGCAUUGCUGUUGCCGCCGUUUCCUGCCCUGUGAAGAGGGUUGUGUUCCGGAACUCCUGUACUCUGGAUACACAUGGAUGAGUUCUGGGGGAUUCUAGGAACAAUGCGGACAAUCUGCGUGUGCAUUCUGAUUGACAGCUGGAAAUAACUAUGGCUGCAUGUGAAGAGAGCACAGAUGUGCUUGUGAAAGUGAUAAAAUAGGCACCAAGCAACCUCUGCCGAUGGAAGAAUAGACCUGCAGAUUGCUUGCCAAUGGCUUUUCUAAAAAUUCUGCAAAUGCCAAAGGUUAUGAUACGGACAAAUUCAAGUCAGUCUCCAAUGUGGCUUACUGAUAACCUCCAAUGAGGCAUGGAUGAUACCUACAGUUCACUCUUGAUCCCUGGAAGGUGGUUCUUCCUAAUGAUAACAUCUGAGAAUGCAGAAACUACUGCUCCUCAGCAACAAAGGGGAGGUAAGUACUCUGUGGCUCGUACCUAGCAUCAUAUACACACACAGGAACGGCCCUCUCUCCCCUCUCAACCCCACAAACUCAGUUCACACAGUGUAAACUCUGAAAAGCAUUCUUUCUUUACCUGGAGCACAAAGACUCCACAGUCACUGUCAUUUUUCUGUUGUGGAAUACACUGAGGGGAAAAACAAGACAGUCAUUAAAAUAAGAUCAAUUACUCCUCUUCAGAUAAGAAAAACUCCUUUAUGGAAAAAUGUGCAAAGGAUAGGAAACUUUUCUCUCUCCAGGACAGCUGGUAUAUCCUCUGGUAUCUCAAGCAUCUAAUGUUAUGGAGGCACCUGGCCACAUAAAAAGAGCUAUCAGGUGACAACCACAACUUAGAGAACAAUGUUCUACCUAAAUAUGAGAAAUGGGAAAUCAAAUGUAAAAACCUAUUUUAAAAACAUGCAUUUGGAUACUGGGUUCUGCUAUCAAUUCACUGACAAUGGAGUCAAAAUGGAAUUGUGGCUGGGAACACAGGCCCGGCCCCUGGACGCCAGGAUGGUGAGAAUGCCACUGAGCAGUCUUCGCUUUAGAUCUCCCAUCACACGACCCUGUCCUAUUCUUUGAAAGAAACUGUGAAGCUAAACAGUAUGGUUGUUGUGAUGGGGCUUUUUUUUGAGACAGGGUCUCACUCUGUCGCCCAGGCUGGAGUGCAGUGGCACAGUCUCAGUCUCCUGAGUUCAAGCAAUCCUCCUACCUCAGCUUCCCAAGUAGCUGGGACUACACCUGGUUAAUUUUAUUAUUUUAUUAUUUGUAGAGAUGAGGUCUCACCAUGUUGCCCAGGCUGGUCUUGAACUCCUAGACUUAAGCAAUCCACCCACCUUUGCCUCCCAAAAGUGCUGGGAAUACAGGCAUGAGCCACUGUGCCCGGCCAACAGUAUGUUUUUAAAAGAACCGGUUACUGUAUUCUGCCCAAAGUGGGGAUACGGAAGAUCCUAACUAAAUUUAGAAUACCUAGAUUUUUUUAGUUGAGUAAUUUCAGGAAAUUUACUAGUUCUGGUUUCACCUGGUAUACUAGGUUAUUCAAAAUACAAAACUUAAGCUUAAUUUUAAAAUUUAGCAUUUGGUUCGGUUCAAGGAUGAACUAAUAAAUCUUGUCUCUUUGGGUUUGGGUUAAAGGUUUGUUUCAAGAUCCUGCCUAUAACAUUGUGUCAAUGAUCCAGACAGACCUGCAUUCAAGGACCUGACUCUAUAUCAAUAGUUUUGAUGUCCUUUGGGGAAAAUCACACCUGGGCUUCAGUUUUCUCAUUUACAAAAUAAAGAUGAUGUUUAUCCCUAGAUGACCUGCCUACCGCACAGGUUAUAAGGAUCAAAUGAGAUCUAAUACACAAAAACACUGGAAACAAUACAGCCCGCCAUCAAUGGAAGACACUGGUAUUUACGACAGGAAUGAGCGGCUGUGCCUGGGCACUCUGCCUCACAGUUCGAAUGUCAUGGGCCAAACAUGGUGCUGCAUCCAGACGGUGGUGGGACUGAAGUGCCUGGGCUAUCUUCCCCACAUGCCUGGCAAGUAGCCCAGUGCACCUUCUCCCCCUCAGUGGAUCCAAACAGUCAUUUCAGCAUUCCUCUGGGUCUAUACGGGUCAUCUGGAAAUAAGCCAUGAUGCAAGAGGCAAGUGCCACCCAAAAAAGUUUUUUUUUCCCCCCGGAAGAGCAAACACAUCAUUAGCAACUGCCUCAGGGAGGAAGUGACUGAAGUGAUUUGCUCCCGGGAAGCACUGGGCAACUGAGCAGCGAUGAUGAAUACUAAACUGAAGUUUAUUCUCAGCUGCCUCCCUGGAGCCUCCAGGAUCUCCUUGGUAUCUCUGUCACCAGUUUUCAAAUACUCUUAAAGGCACCCACCCUUACAUAAUUCCAUCCCCUGGACAUGCCUGGGUUUCAUUGUUAUCACAUACUUACCUUCGUAACAGCAGUCUGCCAACCCUGAAGAAAUUCAGGUCUAUUUUUUUCUCUGGCUUCAGUCAGCAAAUACUUUCUUAUAUUCUGGUUAAAAAGAAACCACAACACAGAUGCUGUGUUCCAUCAGUUGGUGAAAAAUGGGACAUGCCCAUAGCAGACAGAAGGAAAAGAGGAGGCUGUGGCCCCAUAGCUGGGCAGAGUAUGCAUUAAGAAGCUGGAACAAAUUUUUUUUUUUAAGAGAGAGGAUCUUGCUCCGUCACCCAGGCUGGAGUGCAAUGGGGUGAUCAGAGCUCACUGCAGCCUUGAACUCUCAGGCUCCAGAGAUCCUCCUACCUCAGCCUUCCAAGUAGCUGGGACUACAGGUGUACACCACUGCUCCUGGCUAAAGCUGGAAUUUUAUUUCAGACUCUCCAUUUCAUAUUGUUAAGGGGGAGUCAGACCGCCUGUAUUCAAGUUUGCACCCAGACUGUGGAUGCUGGCUUUGUCUAAUCAGAACAUUUUAUGGGAUGGUUAUAGCCAGCCCUUCCCAACAGUAAGUCAGCUGCUGCAUUUGAAACUUACAUACUGGCAAGUCAAAAAGAAAGUCUUUAUCAUUGCCAGUGCUCCACAGAGGAAAGGAACCCAUGGCAGACAUCAUUAACAACUAAAA